AGAGCGGCGAAAGGGUGAGUAAUGCAUAGGUAACGUGCCCUGAGCUCGGGGAUAGCCGCGGGAAACCGUGGAUAAUACCCGAUGAGACCACGGUGUCAUAUGGCACAGCGGUCAAAGAUGGGGACCCUUCGGGGCCUAUCGGCUUUGGAGCGGCCUAUGUCCUAUCAGCUUGUUGGUGAGGUAACGGCUCACCAAGGCGACGACGGGUACCGGGACUGAGAGGUUGACCCGGCACAUUGGGACUGAGACACUGCCCAAACUCCUACGGGAGGCUGCAGUCGAGAAUCUUCCCCAAUGGGCGAAAGCCUGAGGGAGCGACGCCGCGUGUGGGAAUAAGCCCUUCGGGGUGUAAACCACUGUCAGGGACCACCAAGCGAUGGGGACAAAUAGUCCCCGGAGUUGAGGAAUCCCAAAGGAAGCCACGGCUAACUUCGUGCCAGCAGCCGCGGUAAGACGAAGGUGGCUAGCGUUGUUCGGAAUCAUUGGGCUUAAAGAGCAUGUAGGCGGCCCAUUAAGCGUCAUGUGAAAUCCCUCGACUCAACCGAGGAACUGCAUGGCGAACUGGUGGGCUUGAGGCAAGUAGAGGCGUGUGGAACUCUUGGUGGAGCGGUGGAAUGCGUAGAUAUCAAGAGGAACGCCGGUGGCGAAGGCGACACGCUGGGCUUGUCCUGACGCUGAGAUGCGAAAGCCAGGGGAGCGAACGGGAUUAGAUACCCCGGUAGUCCUGGCCCUAAACGAUGUCCACUAGGUCGGAGGUUCUCUGACGGAGUUCCGGCCGAAACAAAAGCGUUAAGUGGACCGCCUGGGGAGUACGGUCGCAAGGCUAAAACUCAAAGGAAUUGACGGGGGCUCACACAAGCGGUGGAGCACGUUGCUUAAUUCGAUGCAACGCGAAGAACCUUAUCCUGGGCUUGACAUGUACGGAUGCCUACUGGGAAACCAGGUCGGUUGCCCUUCGGGGUGAAACGUACACAGGUGCUGCAUGGCUGUCGUCAGCUCGUGUCGUGAGAUGUUGGGUUAAGUCCCGUAACGAGCGAAACCCUUGUCGUUACUUGCCAGGGGUUCGCCUGUGGACUCUACCGAGACUGCCGUUGUUAAACCGGAGUAAGG
This 1110-nucleotide ribosomal RNA is filed under the name uncultured organism. Its description in RNAcentral is "bacterial SSU rRNA". It matches the Rfam family "Bacterial small subunit ribosomal RNA", at positions 92 to 1173 of the family's 1533-position model. The record is from RNAcentral.